This 1114-nucleotide long non-coding RNA is filed under the name Homo sapiens (human). RNAcentral describes it as "non-protein coding lnc-SORCS1-4:4". The record is from RNAcentral. Lineage: Eukaryota; Metazoa; Chordata; Mammalia; Primates; Hominidae.
UAAAGAGUGCCAGGCAACGGCCAAUGGCUUCUACAAUCCCUUUCAUCCUGGACAGUCCAGUGUUGUGAUACCCUGACACCAAGACCCUUCCUUGGUUGUCUGGCACAGUGCUGCCACAUACCAUCUCAGGAACUUUCAUUUAUUUCCCUUUGUGUCCAAACAUCAGAAAGGCUUUCUGAGUUGCUUGCCAAGGUGUUCUUCAGCCUUCCCUAGGCUAAACUUCUCCAUUGGAUCAAUAGCAGGUGGUCAACAAAGACAAAAACACCAUCUUCAGAAUGACUCAGAUCAUCCUCUUGGGCAGCCCUUUUUGGAUAUCUCUAUGAAAUUCUGCAGCUGAAAGCUGACACGCAUAAUUAUUUCCUGUUAGAUACUGAAGAAAAAAAAAAGCCCAGGAGAUAUUGUCGAGACUGUUUCUGGGGUGUGAUUGGGGGAUAGGAGAUGAAUGGUGUCAGAAUUGGAACAUGAAGUAGAACUUCCAGUAACCCCUAGGAGCAUCAAGUGACCCAGAGAGGUAACCCCCUCCACCAGGGUCCAUUGCAUCCAUUGCUCUCUCACAGCAACUGAGGCUCAUGGGACUGGAGUGGAGUCGGUAGGAAGGAACAGUCUUUGAAGUUAGAUGCGCCAGGUUGUAACCCCACUUCCACCAAUUGUGGUAACUUUGUGAGACAAGCCUCAAAUUUUACCACUGUACCAAGAAAUGAAAGCCAGAAUGUGGAAUUGGAGCUGGUAAUGACGACGUCAGGACAGGUUCAAAGGAAGCCCAUCACUUGAGUAAAAAUUUAUAGCCCUGCUUGUGCUGUGCUGUGCUGUGCUGUGAGUUUCAGUUCCGGGCCAGCAAAAGAUUUAUCAAAGGAAAGCAACAAGGUAAGAAAAAUUAAUUUCAGAGAGGAAAAUAAAGUUGCUUGAGGGGCUCUUCAAUGACCAAAGGCCAUAAGAGACUGGAAGGCAAAAGGACCCAUUAAUGUAAUCCAAACAUCAGUCUCCUGCAGCAAAGAGGUGAAUGGAGAAGGGUGGAGAGUAGCUGUGGACGAGUGAAAAAGACAUCGCACCAUGUCUUCAAAUUACAUCCAGCAACUUCAUAUGAACUAUGAAACCCUUGUUGCCACAAUAGUCC